GCAUAAUCAAUAGUCUUUUAAUUGAUGACUGGAAUGAAGGGUUACUACUAAGAAGAAAGUUUUGUCUAAUUGAUUUGAAUUUAAAUUAAAAGUAAAAAUGCUUUUAUUAAACUUUGGGACGAGAAGACCCUAGAAGCUUAAAAUACUACGGGAAUUUUUGGUUGGGGCAACAUUUGAAGAUAUAAAUUUUUAUUGAAUGUGAAUAUAAAAUAUAAAGUUACUCUAGGGAUAACAGCAUUAUUUAAUUAACAAGUUCUUAUUAAUAAUUGAAGUUUGUGACC
RNAcentral lists this ribosomal RNA (281 nucleotides) under Arthrodes xanthopygus. RNAcentral describes it as "partial 16S ribosomal RNA". The record is from RNAcentral. Lineage: Eukaryota; Metazoa; Arthropoda; Arachnida; Opiliones; Gonyleptidae.